Molecule: ribosomal RNA, 465 nt
Filed under: Vreelandella stevensii
Lineage: Bacteria; Pseudomonadati; Pseudomonadota; Gammaproteobacteria; Oceanospirillales; Halomonadaceae
Description: partial 16S ribosomal RNA
Rfam family: Bacterial small subunit ribosomal RNA
Source: RNAcentral
CCUACGGGCGGCUGCAGUGGGGAAUAUUGGACAAUGGGGGGAACCCUGAUCCAGCCAUGCCGCGUGUGUGAAGAAGGCCCUCGGGUUGUAAAGCACUUUCAGUGAGGAAGAACGCCUGGUGGUUAAUACCCAUCAGGAAAGACAUCACUCACAGAAGAAGCACCGGCUAACUCCGUGCCAGCAGCCGCGGUAAUACGGAGGGUGCGAGCGUUAAUCGGAAUUACUGGGCGUAAAGCGCGCGUAGGUGGCUUGAUAAGCCGGUUGUGAAAGCCCCGGGCUCAACCUGGGAACGGCAUCCGGAACUGUCAAGCUAGAGUGCAGAAGAGGAAGGUAGAAUUCCCGGUGUAGCGGUGAAAUGCGUAGAGAUCGGGAGGAAUACCAGUGGCGAAGGCGGCCUUCUGGACUGACACUGACACUGAGGUGCGAAAGCGUGGGUAGCAAACAGGAUUAGAUACCCUGGUAGUC